UUUCCGUAGGUGAACCUGCGGAAGGAUCAUUCAUAAUAAAGUGUUUUAUGGCACUUUUUAAAAAUCCAUAUCCACCUUGUGUGCAAUGUUAGAUCUCGUCAAUCUUGGCGAGGUUUUUAUACAUCAACUCAUUCUUUAACUAAUUUGUCUGAAAAAUAUUAUGAAUACCUAAUUCAAAAUACAACUUUCAACAACGGAUCUCUUGGCUCUC
Molecule: unclassified non-coding RNA, 211 nt
Filed under: plant metagenome
Description: partial contains small subunit ribosomal RNA, internal transcribed spacer 1, and 5.8S ribosomal RNA
Source: RNAcentral